UUGCGACCCCAGGUCAGGCGGGACUACCCGCUGAGUUUAAGCAUAUCAAUA
This 51-nucleotide ribosomal RNA is filed under the name Abronia fragrans. RNAcentral's name for it is "partial 26S ribosomal RNA". Lineage: Eukaryota; Viridiplantae; Streptophyta; Magnoliopsida; Caryophyllales; Nyctaginaceae. The record is from RNAcentral. RNAcentral also lists the same sequence under 12 other names.